UACGUAGGGGGCGAGCGUUGUCCGGAAUCAUUGGGCGUAAAGAGCGUGUAGGCGGCUUGGCAAGUCUGACGUGAAAGCCCGCGGCUCAACCGCGGAUUGUCGUUGGAAACUGCCUCGCUAGAGUCCGGAAGAGGAGAGCGGAAUUCCUGGUGUAGCGGUGGAAUGCGCAGAUAUCAGGAGGAACACCGAUAGCGAAGGCAGCUCGCUGGGACGGUACUGACGCUAAGGCGCGAAAGCGUGGGGAGCGAACAGG
This 253-nucleotide ribosomal RNA is filed under the name uncultured bacterium. Its description in RNAcentral is "partial 16S ribosomal RNA". It matches the Rfam family "Bacterial small subunit ribosomal RNA", at positions 524 to 776 of the family's 1533-position model. The record is from RNAcentral.